Calidris pugnax (ruff) is the source of this 269-nucleotide long non-coding RNA. RefSeq lists it as uncharacterized. The transcript is spliced from 2 exons. The record is from RefSeq and is a predicted model, not a curated record. Lineage: Eukaryota; Metazoa; Chordata; Aves; Charadriiformes; Scolopacidae.
UUUUUUUUUAAGUUUGAGACUGUUUGUUUCACUUUUAUAUAUUGGCUGGACUGAGGUGUGGGGAUAAGGUUCACUGCGCGUAGGAAGCGAAAUCCCCUUUUCUCUGCCUUGUCAGGUAGUUUGGAGAAGGAUGAAGGAUGCGCCCGGGUUAGCGAUUCAGAACUACUUCCAAAAGUUGUUUUUUUUUUUUUUAAAAAAAAGGAAAAAGGAAAAAAAAAAAGGGGUUUUCUGCUUUACCCCUUCAACCUCCUUCCCUCUCCGCAUCUACA